GAUGAACGCUGGCGGCGUGCCUAAUACAUGCAAGUCGAGCGAACAGACUAGGUGCUUGCUCCUCUGUCGUUAGCGGCGGACGGGUGAGUAACACGUGGAUAACCUACCUAUGAGACUGGGACAACUUCUGGAAACCGGAGCUAAUACCGGAUAAUAUAUUUAACCACAUGGUUCAAUAUUGAAAGAUGGUUUUGCUGUAACUUAUAGAGAUAUCCCGUUCGCAUUAGCAAGUUGGUAAGUUAACGCCUUACAAAGCCAACGUAGAGUAGCCGACCUGAGAGGGGGAUCGGCAAAACGGGACCUAGGAAACGGCCAAGACUCCUACGGGAGGAGGCAGUAGGGAACUUUCCGAAAUGGGGGAAGGCUUGACGGAGCAAGGCCGCGUGAGUGAUGAAGUUCUUCGGAUCGAAAAACUCUGUUAUUAGGAAAGAACAAAUGUGUAAGUAAAUAUGCACGACUUGACGGUACCUACUCAGAAAGCGACGGCUAACUACGUG
RNAcentral lists this ribosomal RNA (497 nucleotides) under uncultured bacterium. RNAcentral describes it as "partial 16S ribosomal RNA". It matches the Rfam family "Bacterial small subunit ribosomal RNA", at positions 28 to 507 of the family's 1533-position model. The record is from RNAcentral.